AGGACGAACGCUGGCGGCGUGCUUAACACAUGCAAGUCGAACGAGGCCCUGCCUUCGGGCAGGUGACCUAGUGGCGAACGGGUGAGUAACACGUGGGCAACCUACCCUCAGCUCUGGGAUAACCCCGGGAAACCGGAGCUAAUACCGGAUAUGACCUGAUGCGACAUCUCGUCAGGUGGAAAGUUUUUCGGCUGAGGAUGGGCCCGCGGCCUAUCAGCUUGUUGGUGGGGUAAUGGCCUACCAAGGCGACGACGGGUA
Molecule: ribosomal RNA, 258 nt
Filed under: uncultured bacterium
Lineage: Bacteria
Description: partial small subunit ribosomal RNA
Rfam family: Bacterial small subunit ribosomal RNA
Source: RNAcentral